Molecule: ribosomal RNA, 441 nt
Filed under: uncultured bacterium
Lineage: Bacteria
Description: partial 16S ribosomal RNA
Rfam family: Bacterial small subunit ribosomal RNA
Source: RNAcentral
CCUACGGGUGGCAGCAGUGGGGAAUAUUGCACAAUGGGGGAAACCCUGAUGCAGCAACGCCGCGUGAAGGAAGACGGUUUUCGGAUUGUAAACUUCUGUUCUUAGUGAAGAAUAAUGACGGUAGCUAAGGAGCAAGCCACGGCUAACUACGUGCCAGCAGCCGCGGUAAUACGUAGGGGGCGAGCGUUAUCCGGAUUCACUGGGUGUAAAGGGAGCGUAGACGGCCAAGCAAGCCAGGGGUGAAAGCCCGGGGCCCAACCCCGGGACUGCCCUUGGAACUGCAUGGCUGGAGUGCGGGAGGGGCAGGCGGAAUUCCUGGUGUAGCGGUGAAAUGCGUAGAUAUCAGGAGGAACACCGGCGGCGAAGGCGGCCUGCUGGACCGCGACUGACGUUGAGGCUCGAAAGCGUGGGGAGCGAACAGGAUUAGAUACCCCAGUAGUC